Cinara cedri is the source of this 2243-nucleotide non-coding RNA. The record is from the annotation of a GenBank genome assembly. NCBI's taxonomy places the organism in Eukaryota, Metazoa, Arthropoda, Insecta, Hemiptera, Aphididae.
GUCACGUCGAAUUGUAUACAUUUUUAAAAAUCUUCUUUUUCUUUAAUUCUAUUAAAGAAUGAACGAACAAAAGUUUAACGUAAAGUUGGUAGAAGAAGUGGAAAGACCACUCAUUUUGUACAACUUUCACGCCAUUCUAGGGAGGACGAGACGGAAAUGGCAUAGAACGAAGUCGGAAAAACAAUAAUUAUGACAACAAGGUAAUUCGUCACUUGAAAAUAAAUUAUUCAAUCGUCAUUUCUGGAAUGGAUGACAUGUCGUUAAAAAGUGUUGAUGCAGGCCCUAUACUUUAUAUACUUUCGAUCGCUUUGGGUACAGUGACUCGUGAGCGGAUCUCAGUGACCAAUGCGUCAGUAAUAGUUAGCAAUUUAAAUCAUAGACCAGUUUAGGUUGCUAAUGAAUAACUCCGUGUGUAGAGUGUGUAGAGGGCUUACAGUUAACGCUGAAUGAUAACAAAUAUAAUACAACAGUAUAUGGUAGUUACUAACUGUUUUAUUAGUAUACCGGGUGAUUAUUUUAUCGUUAAACACUCAUUUCCUCGGAAAGUAUUAACUUUUUUCGAAAUUUGUUUUCUAGAACAUCUAAGAAACAAGCAGCUCUGCAUUUUUACAAUUAAAAUUAUUUUUUGUAACUCUAAAGUUUUGGGUGUGAAACGACUACCUACUUUUGAUUUUCAAAUAGCAACCUAUAUUCGAAAUUCGGUAAAUAGAUGGAGUAUUAGUUUCAAUAAAUUUUGGGGUUGAAAUUUUCGAUUCCCGUCAAUCCAUUUAUGAGAUAUUUCACUUUCAAGUUUUGGUCGGGGGAGAGAAGUGGAGCACAUUUGUGUAGCGGCACGGAGCGCAGUGUUUAAAUAAUGCACCACUACUCUCCCCCGACUAAAACUUAAAAGUGAAAUAUCUUAUAAAUGGAUUGACGGAAAUCAAAAAUGUCAACACAUUGUGCAUUACGACACUUUGUGCAAUACAAAGAAUUAAAAUGGUACACCUUCCACCUAUUUAUUUUUUAUAGACGAGCCCCAUAAAAAACAUUAUUAUCUCGACACUCGUUAUCUGGGAAAGUAUUUAUUAUGUACAUGCAUUUUUUAUUACUAUUAUUAUUAUUAUUAUUAUUAUUUUUUUUUUUUAAACAACUUAUAAAACAAAUGUUUAAAAGCUAACAUUUUAACAUUUUAGAGCUAACUUAUAAAACAAAUAGCUCUUAAAUGUUACAUCACUGUUGUUUUUUGUUAUUCUUUUUUUCGGCGGUGAAACUUUUAAUUUUGAUUUUUAAACAACACCUAUAUUAAAAAUUCCAUAAAUAAUUAUAGAUAUUUUUAAUUUCUAUCAACGCAUUGUAUCUACUGUAUGUACAAAGUGACUUCAAGUACACCACUUAUCACAACUGCCGAUAUAGAAAGAAGUUUAUCAGAAGUUUCUCCAGAUAAAAAAUGUAUUAAACAAUAACAGACGGUCAGUCGACUUCGAAAACUUAAAAAAAAACAUUCGUCGUCCAAUUCAAUAACUUAAGCAAUGUUUGUAUUUAAUUUUGCUUGUAUUAUAAUAUUUUAUUAUAUUGAUUAAUGAUAAUGCUGACAUAAUUUUAAAAUUAUAAGUGCAAUUUUUAAUAUAAUAUUUUUAAUACAAUAAUACAAUCAAUUUAGUGAGUUUUUUAAUGCAACGAUUUUACUGCCCUAGUGAUUAGUAUUAUUGUGUUGUUUAUUAGCCAAUGACGAACAUAAUUAAACACUAGCAAUCAUUUUGUUAUUUUUUUUAUUAUUAACUGUGUAUUUACACCGUUUAACCGAUUGAAUAUCGUACAACAGUACAUGCUUGUCCAUUUUUAAUUUCUCUGAAUAAUUAUUAUAAUAGAUUAUCUGUAGAUUUAAUCGAAUUAUCAUGUUACAGAUACGCAUCUACGUCAUGAGCCAUCUGGCCACCCAACUAAUCGAAACAAAUUCACGGCCUCUCGAAAAUCUCCGGGCCAUACCGCUGUAGCAAUCAGGUCAAGGUACGAUCACUACUUUGUACAUAGGUGUAUGUACAGUACAUUGAUUGUGGUCUUUUUAUAGUCAAAACAUAUUAACGGUUAGGUUAACGAUUAUUAAGGAUUACGUGUUUAGAAAUUAAGGUUUGUCUACUUUCACGGGGCCGUAUUCAGUAUAUACGGUCAUACAAACGCGGGUCUCCGCAAUUUUUAGACUUAGUUUCAACUGGAUUUACAGACAGACCGUUGGUAUCACUUCUUACAUUUGUGUGAACCCCGGG